Molecule: ribosomal RNA, 468 nt
Filed under: uncultured bacterium
Lineage: Bacteria
Description: partial 16S ribosomal RNA
Rfam family: Bacterial small subunit ribosomal RNA
Source: RNAcentral
GACGAACGCUGGCGGCGUGCUUAACACAUGCAAGUCGAACGGAAAGGCCCUACUUGUUUGCGGUUGUCGAGGGGCGAACGGGAAAGUAACAGGAGCGCAACCUUCCCCUGACUCAUGGAUAACUUUAAGAAACUGGGGCGAAUACUGGUAAGGCGUACCAGCUAGGAUGAGAUGAUUGGAUAGUGUCGGCGGGCGGGGAUGGACGCGCGGCUAAUCAGCCGGUGGGUGGGGUAGUGGCUUACCAAGGCAUAGAUGGGUAGGCGGCCUUGGAGGGUGACCGGCGACAUUGGGACUGAGAUACGCCGCAGACGCCUACGGGAGGCAGCAGUGGGGAAUCUGGCGCAAUGGGCGGACGCCUGUUGAAGAAACGCCCCGUGCGGGAUGACGGCCUUUGGGUUGUAAACCGCUUUCGCCUGUGACGAAGCGUGAGUGACGGUAAUGGGUAAAGAAGCACCGGCUAACUACGUG